This is a small nuclear RNA of Sorex fumeus (smoky shrew), 105 nucleotides long. NCBI's taxonomy places the organism in Eukaryota, Metazoa, Chordata, Mammalia, Eulipotyphla, Soricidae. The record is from RefSeq and is a predicted model, not a curated record.
GUGCUUGCUUUGGCAGCAUAUAUACUAAAAUUGGAAUGAUACAGAUGAUUUAACACAGCCCCAAGCAAGGGUGACAUGAAAAUUCAUGAAGAAUGCUAAAUUUAA